Molecule: ribosomal RNA, 422 nt
Filed under: uncultured bacterium
Lineage: Bacteria
Description: partial 16S ribosomal RNA
Rfam family: Bacterial small subunit ribosomal RNA
Source: RNAcentral
AAUUUUGUACAAUGGGGGCGACGCUGAUCCAGCCAUCCCGCGUGUGCUAUGAAGGCCUUCGGGUUGUAAAGCACACUUGGCAGGGAAGAAAAGGCCCUGGUUAAUACCUGGAGCUGCUGACGGUACCUGCAGAAUAAGCACCGGCUAACUACGUGCCAGCAGCCGCGGUAAUACGUAGGGUGCAAGCGUUAAUCGGAAUUACUGGGUGUAAAGGGUGCGCAGGCGGUUUGGAAAGAAGGAUGUGAAGUCCCGGUGCUUAACCUCGGAACUGCAUUCUGAACUGCCAGGAUAGAGUAUGUCAGAGGGGGGUAGAAUACAGCGUGUAGCAGUGAAAUGCGUAGAGAUGCGGAGGAAUACCGAUGGCGAAGGCAGCCCCCUGGGAUAAUACUGACGCUCAGGCACGAAAGCGUGGGGAGCAAACA